CAAUAGCGUAUAUUAAAGUUGUUGCGGUUAAAAAGCUCGUAGUUGGAUUUCUGCUGAGAACGACCGGUCCGCCCUUUGGGUGUGUAUCUGGCUCUUUCUUGGCAUCUUCUUGGUGAACGUUGCUGCACUUGACUGUGUGGAGCGCUACCCAGGACUUUUACUUUGAGGAAAUUAGAGUGUUUCAAGCAGGCAUACGCCUUGAAUACAUUAGCAUGGAAUAAUAAGAUAGGACCUCGGUUCUAUUUUGUUGGUUUCUAGAGCUGAGGUAAUGAUUAAUAGGGAUAGUUGGGGGCAUUCGUAUUUAACUGUCAGAGGUGAUAUUCUUGGAUUUGUUAAAGACGGACUACUGCGAAAGCAUUUGCCAAGGAUGUUUNCAUUGA
This 380-nucleotide ribosomal RNA is filed under the name uncultured eukaryote. RNAcentral describes it as "partial 18S ribosomal RNA". It matches the Rfam family "Eukaryotic small subunit ribosomal RNA", at positions 592 to 976 of the family's 1831-position model. The record is from RNAcentral.